Long non-coding RNA from Tarenaya hassleriana, 287 nucleotides. RefSeq lists it as uncharacterized. Lineage: Eukaryota; Viridiplantae; Streptophyta; Magnoliopsida; Brassicales; Cleomaceae. The transcript is spliced from 3 exons. The record is from RefSeq and is a predicted model, not a curated record.
GUUUCUGGUCGAGCAAGCUUUGAGAAAUAUUGGGGGGUGGCGAAGAAGAAGAGACUUGGUCUUCUUCAGCAAGGAUAGAAGAGAGGGCUGAAAAAUAAGCAAGCAUCAAAUUCUAACAUUCAAAUCUGGAAUUCAUCCGCUACUUGGGAUCGAGGAAGAAGAACCACUUACAAGGCAUGAAACUGGAGUAGAGAAGCGCAAGAGACCACGGCUGCUCGAGCAGGCCAAGAGAUCUCACUCUCUUCCACCCUCCGGAUUAUGUCAGAGAGCAGUUCCGGUGGCAGAUA